This is a long non-coding RNA of Myripristis murdjan (pinecone soldierfish), 636 nucleotides long. RefSeq lists it as uncharacterized. The record is from RefSeq and is a predicted model, not a curated record. Lineage: Eukaryota; Metazoa; Chordata; Actinopteri; Holocentriformes; Holocentridae. The transcript has 3 exons.
CCUCCCCCUAACCAGAACCAAAAUCCCUCAAAGGACACGACAGCUCAUUCAAACGCGUCACGACUCGUCCAGUAGGAGAAGAUGCUGAUAUGUGAAGGACAGGCCCAUCAGCCACAGGGUCCCAGAGAGGGGGAUUGGGGAAAAGAGGAGGCCAGGAUGGGCAAGAGGAGAGCGGACAAGACAAAAGGAGAAGAGAGAGGUGCAUCCCAGGUCCAUGCCCAGGAAUAACUCACAGGAGCUACCAGGCCCCCUGCCCAGCCUGUGAGGCCCUUCAUGGCCUGGCCUGGAAUAUAUUUCUGAAUUGUUGUCUCUUUACCAACCUGCAACCUGCUGACUGUUCCCACCUCACAUUUAAAGACUAAAGGGAAGUGAGUGUUUGCUGUUCAGGCUACUCGGCUGUGGAGUGACCUGCCUGAAGAACUCCAGUAGCUUCUUUUAAAGCACUGUUGAAGGCUUAUUUUUAUUGAACGACAUUAUAAUUUUUAUUAUAUAUAUAUUUUUUAUUUUUAUUUGUAUUCAGAUUUAUUCAUUUAUUUACUUAUUUAUUAACCUUUGUUCUAUGUUAAGUUUUCAUUCACCCAUUGUUUUUACAUUUUGUCCUUGGUGUCCGUUUGUUCUUCCUCUUUUAUUCCUUAU